This 400-nucleotide ribosomal RNA is filed under the name Haptophyta environmental samples. Its description in RNAcentral is "partial small subunit ribosomal RNA". It matches the Rfam family "Eukaryotic small subunit ribosomal RNA", at positions 30 to 432 of the family's 1831-position model. The record is from RNAcentral. Lineage: Eukaryota; Haptophyta.
GCUUGUCUCAAAGAUUAAGCCAUGCAUGUCUAAGUAUAAACGAAUUUAUACUGUGAAACUGCGAAUGGCUCAUUACAUCAGUUAUAGUUUAUUUGAUGGUCCUUGCUACUUGGAUAACCGUAGUAAUUCUAGAGCUAAUACAUGCAUAAAACCCUAACUUCUGGAAAGGGUGUAUUUAUUAGAUCCAACCAGCCCGGUUCGCCGGAGUCCCUGGUGAGUCAUAAUAACUGAGCGAAUCGCAUGGCCUUGUGCCGGCGAUGGUUCAUUCAAGUUUCUGCCCUAUCAGCUUUCGAUGGUAGGGUAUUGGCCUACCAUGGCGUUAACGGGUAACGGAGAAUUAGGGUUCGAUUCCGGAGAGGGAGCCUGAGAAACGGCUACCACAUCCAAGGAAGGCAGCAGG